This 345-nucleotide RNase P RNA is filed under the name Clostridia bacterium. RNAcentral describes it as "RNase P RNA component class A". It matches the Rfam family "Bacterial RNase P class A". From Rfam's summary of the family: Ribonuclease P (RNase P) is a ubiquitous endoribonuclease, found in archaea, bacteria and eukarya as well as chloroplasts and mitochondria. Its best characterised activity is the generation of mature 5'-ends of tRNAs by cleaving the 5'-leader elements of precursor-tRNAs. The record is from RNAcentral. RNAcentral also lists the same sequence under 5 other names. Lineage: Bacteria; Bacillati; Bacillota; Clostridia.
UGGGUAAACCUGACGAUCGCGCACUUCGGUGUGAGGAAAGUCCGGGCUCCGCAGGGCAAGGAUGCCGGAUAACGUCCGGCGUAGGUAACUAUAGGGAAAGUGCAACAGAAACAUUCCGCCGAAACGGGUAAUGCCGUGGUAAGGUUGAAAUGGUGAGGUAAGAGCUCACCGGCGUUCUGGAGACAGGACGGCCGUGUAAACCCCAUCCGGAGCAAGACUAAGAACGGGUCGUAGAGUGCAGUUGCCCGCUGCCGCCCUAAGGUAAGUCGCUGGAUGCUGCAAGCAAUUGCAGUACAAGAUGGAUGAUCGUCUAAUACAGAACCCGGCUUACGGUUUGCCCAUGUA